CCCCUCUCUCUCUUAAUCAUUCUCCUCCUCCUCUAUAAAAAAAAAAUCAAUACUCAUGGAUCCUUGGGAUAAAACUAACUCAUUAGACCACCACCACCACCGUCGCCAAGAUCAUCGCCAUCCUUCCUUCUCCUCCACUCUCCUCGACCAAAUCUACAACUCCAUCGACUCCUCCUCCGCCGUUAACCGCCGCGCAGUCGCCGGAGAUUCCGUUAGAUCAAGGAAUCUCAAGACCGCUGAGCCAGUUUUCUUCAAGCAUUGGAGCUCCUCCAGCUCCUCAGACUCAAGCGGAUUCUCCUCUUCCGAGUCCGACUCCUUCUACAGGCGAUCUCGUUCUUCGCGUUCUCCGCCGGAGAUUCCCCAUCCCAAGCCGAUUCGAACCACCGUCGAGAGACUCGAACGACCUAAUAAUAAUAAUAAUAAUAAUAAUAAUAAUAAAGUGAAAUCGAAGGCGUUGAAGAUGUAUAGCGAUUUGAAGAAAGUGAAACAGCCGAUUUCUCCAGGCCGACGUCUCGCCACUUUCCUUAACUCUAUUUUCACCGGAAACUCGAAGAAACCGAAUAAAACCGCCACGUCAUCAUCCACCACUUGCUCAUCCGCGUCUUCCUUCUCCAAAUCUUGCUUGAGUAAAACGCCGUCGUCUAGUGAAAAAUCGAAAAGGUCUGUUCGCUUCUGUGAGUCCACGCGCCAACGUCAAAACUUUGAUACUUUUGAGAGCCGAGUGAUGGAGGAGAAUCGUCGCGUGAUUGAAGCAGCCAAGGAACUUAUCAGAACUUACCAGAAGAAUAAAGACGUCGUUAACAUCAUCGGCAAAGAAGAAGAAGAUGAUGAAGAGGACGAUGACGAUGGUGGGAGCUGCGCGAGCUCCGAUCUGUUCGAAUUGGAUCAUCUAUCGGUGAUUGGAAUCGAUAGUUAUCGAGAAGAGCUUCCCGUCUACGAGACGACUCGUUUUAACACGAACCGUAUAAUCUCCAGAUGAAUAAUUAAUUAUUCUCAAACUAUGUAUAACUAAUUGCUUAGUUUCCUAAUGUAGUAACUAUGUUCUUACUAGUUUAUAGGUGGAUUAAUUGGUUUUGGAUUAUACAGUUUUAUGAGUGAUGUUACCUAUUUGCAUGCCAUGUUGUUUGAUCGCGUUAAGUUGCCAAGCCGAACAUUCUACUUAAGUUAACACUAAAAAAGUUUUUAUGGAUUUAAAACGGAAACAACCAUAAAAACCUUAAACUUUCAAAAUAAAAGAAAAAAACUUUAAACUCAUGUUUGAACCAAAAAAUAUUUCAAUUUUCAAAUAUUUGUCAUCCUAAAAAGUCAAUUGUUAAAUCAGUGAACAUAUAUGUUAACUCGCUAAUCGUUUUAAGAACUGAUUAAAUAUUAAUGAAAUAAUGUCGUUUUACAUCUUUAAACAUUUAAAUAAUCUAUUUUUCACAAAUCUUAAAUGUUUUAAUUCUCUAAUCUCUCGAUCUUCUAAUAUCCAAAACCCAGAACCAUUAAUAAUAUAAAGGAUGGCUAGGACGAUGGAGACAUUUCGGCUUUUUCGUAGUGAGAGAUCUGAAUUGGAAUUUUUAGAGAAUCUACGAUUGAACAACAAAAUCAAGUAGGUGAAGAAGGUGAUAGUGAAGAUGAUAGUGAGACUAAUGAUAAUGAGACUGAGAAUAAUGGUAUUGAUGUCGAAAAAAAUAAUUUAAUUAGUAUUUAAAACAAUGUCGUUUAGCAAAGUAACAGACGUUUACGGUUUAAUUUCAAAUUUCUAAAGUGGCCAAUCAACAAAAAAUGAACGUUAAAAUAGCCAACAUUUAAAAAUUGGGAUAUUUUUUGGUUCAAACACAAAUUAAAGGUUAUUUUUGCUUUAAUUUGAAACUUUAGGAUUUUAUUUGUAGUUUACUCGAUUUAAAACUAAUUUUUUUUAUCUCAGAUCACAGCCAUAGGUCGCAGCUAUGUCCAAAUGAAUACAUAUGUACUAUUUCCACUAAAUAAGUUUACUUGUAAGUUAUGUAUUACUAAUACUUUAGCUUUAUUAGCUCCUAAUUGUUAUUUGGAUGUGUUAAUGACAAUUAAACAAACUUCGAAAUUAAGAGGCGCCUGCGACGAAGAACGUAGAAUUUUUAAGUUGAGUUGAAAAAAAAGAUGCAAAAAACAGUUUUUCUACUAUUUGACAUUUGUCAUUAAUUUAGAUAGCAAAAGAAGGUUGAAUUUUUUUUCUUUCUGUCACCUCCACUCAUAAAAUAAAAUAAAUAUUAUGGCUUUUAAUGGUUUCUAUUUUCAAUGUUUGGUACAAAUAAUUAACUACACCAUUUAUACAUAGUUCUAGUGAAUUACCAACCAAUCAAUAAUGAUGUCUUGUUAUAUAGAUUUUGAAUUGUGACAUAUCUUCUUCACCUAUCUCACUAGCAAAACUUCUAAGUUCUAAAUAAUACUAAUGUAUGUCAAAAUAAUAUUAUUAACUUUUCAAAUUUAAACCAUAUCAUUUAAACUUCACCAAACCUGUAAUUGCACAUGGGUUUUGUUCAUUUCUGCAACUGCAACAGGCUAUGAAGUAUUAUCCGUUUUGUCAUCUCGCGAUCUUAAUUGUGAUUUGUGACUAACUAUUGUUCAUUAACUUACGACCCUUGCGACCAACGAUACAUAAAUGAUCAUGGCCUUCCUCAAUCAAGAUUCCCUCCCUCCGAAUGUAAUUCACUUACCAAUGUUUCUGUUGUUUUACUUUCAUUGGAACUACUUUAAAUUUAGUCCCUUGGGGAGAUCCGAUAAAACAGGAAUGAUACAGAAAAGAUUAGCAUGGCUCCUGUGCAAGGAUGACACGCACAAAUCGAGAAUUGGUCUAAGAAAAAAUUUCAAAAAAAAAAACUACUUUAAAUUUAAAAAAAGGUAAAAAUAUUUGACUUGAUGAUACUAAAUACUAGUAAUCAUGAUAAAUAAGCUAAGGGGACAAGAGUGAAAGAGACAUGGUCUCAACUGUCAAAUGUCAUAGACAAAAGUAUCCAAUAAUUUGACUCUCUUUUACUGUUUUCUAUUUAUUUGAUUUUAAUUGACUUGAUUUAAUCUGAAGUGCGACUUUAAGCUUGCAAUUGGAUUAUACCAUAUAAUAAAAGAAAGUCAUUUAUACACAUACUAACUCUUGUAUAUAUAGAAAAACCGUUUGAUGUCAUAAGAAAAAAACUGUUGUAUAUAUAGAAGUUACAGUCGUUUUCCAUAUAAAAUUGUAUUUGAAGACUAACCUACAGUUUAUGGAGGAGAGAAUCGGGUUACAAGUUGGAGUUCUCUACUCAGGAAAUCUGGCAGAUUUUGAGAGAUAAGAAGCCUUUCUGUAGCUGGGCGCCAGGUAUCUGGUUUACGCAAGUGACCCCGAAGUUUGCGUUUAUGGCGUGGCUUUCUGUUCGUGAUAGGAUGUCGACUAUGGGUAGAGUGGUGAAGUGGAGUACGGGGAGUAAUGAUAUGUGUGUUCUCUGUCAUAAUGCUCCGAAAUCGAGGAACCAUUUGUUCUUCGAGUGUGAUAUUUCUGCUCAAGUGUGGGAGUUCGUAGCUAAAGGGUUGUUGCGCCAGUAUUUCACUGUAGUUUGGUAUGAGAUAAUACCCAUUAUUUCUGAUAAGACUAGAGAGAAGAAGAACUUACUUUGUACCAAAUAUGCCUGCCUUCCAAGCUGUUUUAUAUGCCUUGUGGAGAGAAAGGAAUAAGCUGAAGCAUGGAGAGAAGAUGAUGUCUUUACCAGUUUUAAAAAAGGUGAUUGAGAAGGGGAUCAGAAAUAGAAUCACUUUGGUGCAGAAAAAAAGAGGGAGAGGAAUGGAGGUGCUAAUACAAUUUUGGUUUCAAACAAGAAUGUAAUUAGCUUAUAAUCUUAACUUUUUGAGGUCUAGUAUGCAAAUUACUUUGCAAAGAAGUAUGCACUAGUUGUAAUAAGGCUUUUUUUGAUGAAAUUUAACAUUCAUUCAAAAAAAAAAAGACUAACCUACCAUGAUCCAUGAAUGUUAAAUUCAACAAAUGAUUUUUGUACUAUGCAUCUUAAAUAAUUCUAACUCACGUAAGUUGAACUCCAAAUAUGUUUUUUUUUGUCAGCAGUUGAACUCCAAAUAUGAAUUCAUCGUAUAUGCAUAUAAAUAAAUAAGGUUUAAUAUUAGCCUUAUCAUAGCCUUAUUAUACGAUACACUAGUAAAGCAACUAAUACAUUUUUAAUUUGAUAAGUACAUUUUUGUUAAGGUACAAAGAGAAAAAAGAUGAUAAUCUGUAGCAUAGCCAGAUUAGUUAACAUAACUAAUCAGUUGUAA
This is an RNA transcript of Brassica rapa (field mustard), 4257 nucleotides long. It is a transcript of the gene named protein BIG GRAIN 1-like B, with no coding region annotated. NCBI's taxonomy places the organism in Eukaryota, Viridiplantae, Streptophyta, Magnoliopsida, Brassicales, Brassicaceae. The record is from RefSeq and is a predicted model, not a curated record.